This 497-nucleotide ribosomal RNA is filed under the name uncultured bacterium. RNAcentral describes it as "partial 16S ribosomal RNA". It matches the Rfam family "Bacterial small subunit ribosomal RNA", at positions 28 to 507 of the family's 1533-position model. The record is from RNAcentral.
GACGAACGCUGGCGGCGUGCCUAGUACAUGCAAGUAGAACGCUGAAGAGAGGAGCUUGCUCUUCUUGGAUGAGUUGCGAACGGGUGAGUAACGCGUAGGUAACCUGCCUUGUAGCGGGGGAUAACUAUUGGAAACGAUAGCUAAUACCGCAUAACAAUGGAUGACACAUGUCAUUUAUUUGAAAGGGGCAAUUGCUCCACUACAAGAUGGACCUGCGUUGUAUUAGCUAGUAGGUGAGGUAAUGGCUCACCUAGGCGACGAUACAUAGCCGACCUGAGAGGGUGAUCGGCCACACUGGGACUGAGACACGGCCCAGACGCCUACGGGAGGCAGCAGUAGGGAAUCUUCGGCAACGGGGGCAACCCUGACCGAGCAACGCCGCGUGAGUGAAGAAGGGUUUCGGAUCGUAAAGCUCUGUUGUAAGUCAAGAACGGGUGUGAGAGUGGAAAGUUCACACUGUGACGGUAGCUUACCAGAAAGGGACGGCUAACUACGUG